RNAcentral lists this ribosomal RNA (372 nucleotides) under uncultured bacterium. Its description in RNAcentral is "bacterial SSU rRNA". It matches the Rfam family "Bacterial small subunit ribosomal RNA", at positions 28 to 404 of the family's 1533-position model. The record is from RNAcentral.
GACGAACGCUGGCGGCGUGCUUAACACAUGCAAGUCGAACGGUAAGGCCCUUCGGGGUACACGAGUGGCGAACGGGUGAGUAACACGUGGGUGAUCUGCCCUGCACUUUGGGAUAAGCCUGGGAAACUGGGUCUAAUACCGAAUAGGACCAUGGACUUCACGGUUUGUGGUGGAAAGCUUUUGCGGUGUGGGAUGGGCCCGCGGCCUAUCAGCUUGUUGGUGGGGUAAUGGCCUACCAAGGCGACGACGGGUAGCCGGCCUGAGAGGGUGACCGGCCACACUGGGACUGAGAUACGGCCCAGACUCCUACGGGAGGCAGCAGUGGGGAAUAUUGCACAAUGGGCGCAAGCCUGAUGCAGCGACGCCGCGUGA